This 335-nucleotide unclassified non-coding RNA is filed under the name uncultured Onnia. Its description in RNAcentral is "sequence contains ITS2". The stretch from base 1 to 52 matches the Rfam family "5.8S ribosomal RNA", at positions 103 to 154 of the family's 154-position model. The record is from RNAcentral. Lineage: Eukaryota; Fungi; Basidiomycota; Agaricomycetes; Hymenochaetales; Hymenochaetaceae.
AACGCACCUUGCGCCCCUUGGUAUUCCGAGGGGCAUGCCUGUUUGAGUGUCAUGUUAAUCUCAAUCUCCUCGUCUUUUGUUACUUUCUUAACUGAAAGGAAAAGGGACUUUGGGGGUUGGACUUGGAGGUCUUGCUGGCCCUAUCUUUUGUGGUCGGCUCCUCUUAAAUGCAUUAGCUGAACUUUGGUUCGCGUGAUGUUGUCGGUGUAAUAGUUUUAUUCACUGCUGUUCCGCGCUUGCCUAAUGGGUUCGCUUCUAAUUGUCUUCGGACAAGGCUGCUUGAAGCCUUCUUGACCUUUGACCUCAAAUCAGGUAGGACUACCCGCUGAACUUAA